Molecule: small RNA, 27 nt
Filed under: Arabidopsis thaliana (thale cress)
Lineage: Eukaryota; Viridiplantae; Streptophyta; Magnoliopsida; Brassicales; Brassicaceae
Description: ATSL215820
Source: RNAcentral
UUCUUGUUCCUCGUCUUCUCUCUCGUU